UACGAAGGGGGCUAGCGUUGCUCGGAAUUACUGGGCGUAAAGGGCGCGUAGGCGGAUAUUUAAGUCGGGGGUGAAAGCCCGGGGCUCAACCCCGGAAUUGCCUUCGAUACUGGAUAUCUUGAGUUCGGGAGAGGUGAGUGGAAUGCCGAGUGUAGAGGUGAAAUUCGUAGAUAUUCGGCGGAACACCAGUGGCGAAGGCGACUCACUGGCCCGAUACUGACGCUGAGGCGCGAAAGCGUGGGGAGCAAACAGG
Molecule: ribosomal RNA, 253 nt
Filed under: uncultured bacterium
Lineage: Bacteria
Description: partial 16S ribosomal RNA
Rfam family: Bacterial small subunit ribosomal RNA
Source: RNAcentral